GUGGGGAAUAUUGCACAAUGGGGGAAACCCUGAUGCAGCGACGCCGCGUGAGUGAAGAAGUAUUUCGGUAUGUAAAGCUCUAUCAGCAGGGAAGAUAAUGACGGUACCUGACUAAGAAGCCCCGGCUAACUACGUGCCAGCAGCCGCGGUAAUACGUAGGGGGCAAGCGUUAUCCGGAUUUACUGGGUGUAAAGGGAGCGUAGGUGGUGUGGUAAGUCAGAUGUGAAAGCCCGGGGCUCAACCCCGGGACUGCAUUUGAAACUAUCAUACUAGAGUGCAGGAGAGGUAAGUGGAAUUCCUAGUGUAGCGGUGAAAUGCGUAGAUAUUAGGAGGAACACCAGUGGCGAAGGCGGCUUACUGGACUGUAACUGACACUGAGGCUCGAAAGCGUGGGGAGCAAACAGGAUUAGAUACCCGAGUAGUCC
Molecule: ribosomal RNA, 425 nt
Filed under: uncultured bacterium
Lineage: Bacteria
Description: bacterial SSU rRNA
Rfam family: Bacterial small subunit ribosomal RNA
Source: RNAcentral